RNAcentral lists this ribosomal RNA (442 nucleotides) under Streptococcus constellatus. RNAcentral describes it as "bacterial SSU rRNA". It matches the Rfam family "Bacterial small subunit ribosomal RNA", at positions 28 to 453 of the family's 1533-position model. Lineage: Bacteria; Bacillati; Bacillota; Bacilli; Lactobacillales; Streptococcaceae. The record is from RNAcentral.
GACGAACGCGGCGGCGUGCCUAAUACAUGCAAGUAGAACGCACAGGAUGCAUCGUAGUUUACUACACCGUAUUCUGUGAGUUGCGAACGGGUGAGUAACGCGUAGGUAACCUGCCUGGUAGCGGGGGAUAACUAUUGGAAACGAUAGCUAAUACCGCAUAAGAACAUUUACUGCAUGGUAGAUGUUUAAAAGGUGCAAAUGCAUCACUACCAGAUGGACCUGCGUUGUAUUAGCUAGUUGGUGAGGUAACGGCUCACCAAGGCAACGAUACAUAGCCGACCUGAGAGGGUGAUCGGCCACACUGGGACUGAGACACGGCCCAGACUCCUACGGGAGGCAGCAGUAGGGAAUCUUCGGCAAUGGGGGGAACCCUGACCGAGCAACGCCGCGUGAGUGAAGAAGGUUUUCGGAUCGUAAAGCUCUGUUGUUAAGGAAGAACGUG